This 402-nucleotide ribosomal RNA is filed under the name uncultured bacterium. RNAcentral's name for it is "bacterial SSU rRNA". It matches the Rfam family "Bacterial small subunit ribosomal RNA", at positions 355 to 774 of the family's 1533-position model. The record is from RNAcentral.
UGGGGAAUAUUGCACAAUGGGCGAAAGCCUGAUGCAGCAACGCCGCGUGAGUGAUGAAGGCCUUCGGGUUGUAAAGCUCUGUCUUCUGGGACGAUAAUGACGGUACCAGAGGAGGACGCCACGGCUAACUACGUGCCAGCAGCCGCGGUAAUACGUAGGUGGCCAGCGUUGUCCGGAUUUACUGGGCGUCAAGGAUGCGUAGGCGGAUACUUAAGUCAGAUGUGAAAAUCCCGGGCUUAACUUGGGAACUGCAUUUGAAACUGGGUAUCUAGAGUGCGGGAGAGGAAAGUGGAAUUCCUAGUGUAGCGGUGAAAGGCGUAGAGAUUAGGAAGAACACCAGUGGCGAAGGCGACUUUCUGGACCGUAACUGACGCUGAGGCAUGAAGGCGUGGGGAGCAAACA